UACGUAGGCAGCAAGCGUUGUUCGGAAUUACUGGGCGUAAAGAGUGUGUAGGCGGUGUUCUAAGUCUGUUGUGAAAUCUCCCGGCUUAACUGGGAGGGUGCGGCGGAAACUGGAAUGCUAGAGGAUGGGAGAGGUAAGCGGAAUUCCUGGUGUAGCGGUGAAAUGCGUAGAUAUCAGGAGGAACACCAAUGGCGAAGGCAGCUCGCUGGGACGGUACUGACGCUGAGACGCGAAAGCGUGGGGAGCAAACAGG
RNAcentral lists this ribosomal RNA (253 nucleotides) under uncultured bacterium. RNAcentral describes it as "partial 16S ribosomal RNA". It matches the Rfam family "Bacterial small subunit ribosomal RNA", at positions 524 to 776 of the family's 1533-position model. The record is from RNAcentral.